Molecule: long non-coding RNA, 1425 nt
Organism: Oreochromis aureus
Lineage: Eukaryota; Metazoa; Chordata; Actinopteri; Cichliformes; Cichlidae
Exons: 2
Source: RefSeq, a predicted model, not a curated record
AAAUGUGUGCCUGUAAUAGGAUGUCAAAGGGGAACUGUUAGUAUGUUUGUUCAGUUUUUUGGUACAGAGUGGAGUCCACCCAGAGAUUUGUUACAUUUUUUCUUUUAUCUUUGAAUCGUUUGCUUUUUAAAUAUUGCUUGUGUUGAAUAAACCGUAAGCAGUUUCCUUCUGACCUACAGAGAAAGCAGGUGGAUUACACCAGCCUCACAGUUUUUAUCUUUAUAUGGAUUUUUGUUCCAUCCUGAUGAUCACACGAGUGUUGAGGAUUUAACAGAUCUCUUAAGAACAACAUCCAGAAAACCAUCCCAGCAGAGUCUGGACAGGACGUCACUCUGACAUGUUGAGCUCCAAACAGCGAGUCAGAGAAAAUGAGCGAACAGCUUCAUCAACUUGAUUAUUGAUCCAGAGAGUUAGUUUCCUGCUUGGCUUCUCAGUGUCCUUGUCUAGUCUCGUCUACUUUUCUACUUUUCUACUCUUUCCCUGGAACUCUCUCACAGUCUGUUCUCUAAAACCUAAAGAGGAAUUAUGAAUUUGAUGAACUUGUCCCUGAAUGCAAUUGACACCCUCUUCUCAACAAGAAGCCUGGGCUCAGGUGAGCCUGAGUGUCCUGGAAGGACAUUCCCUGCCGGUACAUGAUGGAUGGGUGGAACUGGAGGGUCGUGUGCCUGGCGGGACUGUCAAUCGAGGACAUUGAAGACAUCUACCUGUUCAGAACCAUGAUAACAGGGUUCUUGCUGAUCGGAGCUGACUUGGCCCUGGCUUGUCGAAGAUUAAAGAAAGUGGAGUCGGCUGUUCAAACCCCCACAAGGCUGCCCACUGGGAUUAAAACUUCUCAAAAUGGGCUCAUUGAACACAGCACGGAUCUUGGAGAAGCUCGAGGCUGUCGUGAGCACUCAGACUAAGAUCUUUGAGUGCAAAAUUGAUACCAACUCGGAGAAGCUCACAGCUCUCCAAUUGAGAGACCAGUCACAGACUGUUGUACCAAGUGUGAAAUUGACAUGCAGUUGCUCGCACUAAAGGAAAACCACCAUCAUUUCGGCGCCAGCUGUGGCCUCAAGGCUGGAGCUGAACAUAACAAAUUCUCACCCUGAUUACAGACUGUGUUUCGACAGUUCCUUGUUACUUGUUCCUCGUUGCUUGUCAUGUGGUUUAUGCUGUUGUGAUGUAAAUAUGUGUGCUCUCUGUGCAGAGGAGUUUUUUUGUUUUCUCUUCUCAUGCUGACCUCCCACAAGGAGCCCAGCAUGAGUAGAGGUCGCUUUUUUUUUCCUCCUCCACUUGCCCAUUGUAUUGUACAUUUCAUUGUUUUUUCCAAAUUACUACCCGUCUCCGGCCUGUCUUCCUAUGUCAUGUCUGUAUUGUCCGAAAUCCAAUUUCGCUGCAGGUGUAAAUAUUGCAUGUGAUAAAUAAAGGUUUGAUUGAAUUGAA